CAGUAGCCGCGGUAAUACGAAGGGGGCUAGCGUUGUUCGGAUUUACUGGGCGUAAAGGGCGCGUAGGCGGACUGAUAAGUCAGGGGUGAAAUCCCAAGGCUCAACCUUGGAACUGCCUUUGAUACUGUUUGUCUUGAGUUCGAGAGAGGUAAGUGAAACUGCGAGUGUAGAGGUGAAAUUCGUAGAUAUUCGCAAGAACACCAGUGGCGAAGGCGGCUUACUGGCUCGAUACUGACGCUGAGGCGCGAAAGCGUGGGGAGCAAACAGGAUUAGAUACCCGCGUAGUCCCUGUCUCUUAUAC
This 301-nucleotide ribosomal RNA is filed under the name uncultured bacterium. Its description in RNAcentral is "partial 16S ribosomal RNA". It matches the Rfam family "Bacterial small subunit ribosomal RNA", at positions 509 to 807 of the family's 1533-position model. The record is from RNAcentral.